This 433-nucleotide ribosomal RNA is filed under the name uncultured Clostridium sp. Its description in RNAcentral is "partial 16S ribosomal RNA". It matches the Rfam family "Bacterial small subunit ribosomal RNA", at positions 341 to 792 of the family's 1533-position model. The record is from RNAcentral. Lineage: Bacteria; Bacillati; Bacillota; Clostridia; Eubacteriales; Clostridiaceae.
ACGGGAGGCAGCAGUGGGGAAUAUUGCACAAUGGGGAAACCCUGAUGCAGCGACGCCGCGUGAGUGAUGAAGUAUUUCGGUACGUAAAGCUCUAUCAGCAGGGAAGAUAAUGACGGUACCUGAAUAAGAAGCCCCGGCUAACUACGUGCCAGCAGCCGCGGUAAUACGUAGGGGGCAAGCGUUAUCCGGAUUUACUGGGUGUAAAGGGAGUGUAGGUGGUCUGGCAAGUCAGAUGUGAAAGCCCGCGGCUCAACUGCGGGACUGCAUUUGAAACUGUCAGACUGGAGUGCAGGAGAGGAAAGUGGAAUUCCUAGUGUAGCGGUGAAAUGCGUAGAUAUUAGGAAGAACACCAGUGGCGAAGGCGGCUUUCUGGACUGUAACUGACACUGAGGCUCGAAAGCGUGGGGAGCAAACAGGAUUAGAUACCCUGGUA